Molecule: ribosomal RNA, 468 nt
Filed under: uncultured bacterium
Lineage: Bacteria
Description: partial 16S ribosomal RNA
Rfam family: Bacterial small subunit ribosomal RNA
Source: RNAcentral
GACGAACGCUGGCGGCGUGCUUAACACAUGCAAGUCGAACGGAAAGGCCCUGCGCUUGUGGGGUGCUCGAGUGGCGAACGGGUGAGUAAAACGUGAGUAACAUGCCCUUGACUUUGGGAUAACUUUAGGAAACUGGGGCGAAUACCGCAUAGGAGCUCCUGAUGCACGGUGGGGGUUGGAAAGUUUCGGCGGUGGGGGAUGGACUCGCGGCUUAUCAGCUUGUUGGUGGGGUAGUGGCUUACCAAGGCUUUGACGGGUAGCCGGCCUGAGAGGGUGGCCGGCCACAUUGGUACUGCGAUACGGACCAGACUCCUACGGGAGGCAGCAGUGGGGAAUAUUGCACAAUGAGCGGAAGCCUGAUACAGCAACGCCGCGUGCGGGAUGCCGGCCUUCGGGUUGUAAACCGCUUUCGCCUGUGACGAAGCGUGCGUGACGGUAAUGGGUAAGGAAGCACCGGCUAACUACGUG